GACGAACGCUGGCGGCGUGCUUAACACAUGCAAGUCGAACGGAGAAGCUCCAGCUUGCUGGAGUGGAUCAGUGGCGAACGGGUGAGUAACACGUGAGCAACCUGCCCCUGACUCUGGAAUAAGCGCUGGAAACGGCGUCUAAUACUGGAUACGAGAAGGGUCCGCAUGGGCACUUUCUGUAAAGUUUUUCGGUUGGGGAUGGGCUCGCGGCCUAUCAGCUUGUUGGUGAGGUAAUGGCUCACCAAGGCGACGACGGGUAGCCGGCCUGAGAGGGCGACCGGCCACACUGGGACUGAGACACGGCCCAGACUCCUACGGGAGGCAGCAGUGGGGAAUAUUGCACAAUGGGCGAAAGCCUGAUGCAGCGACGCCGCGUGAGGGAUGACGGCCUUCGGGUUGUAAACCUCUUUCAGCAGGGAAGAAGCGAAAGUGACGGUACCUGCAGAAGAAGCACCGGCUAACUACGUG
RNAcentral lists this ribosomal RNA (468 nucleotides) under uncultured bacterium. Its description in RNAcentral is "partial 16S ribosomal RNA". It matches the Rfam family "Bacterial small subunit ribosomal RNA", at positions 28 to 507 of the family's 1533-position model. The record is from RNAcentral.